This 303-nucleotide unclassified non-coding RNA is filed under the name fungal sp. RNAcentral's name for it is "partial internal transcribed spacer region". The stretch from base 1 to 46 matches the Rfam family "Eukaryotic small subunit ribosomal RNA", at positions 1786 to 1831 of the family's 1831-position model. The record is from RNAcentral. Lineage: Eukaryota; Fungi.
AAGUCGUAACAAGGUUUCCGUAGGUGAACCUGCGGAAGGAUCAUUACCAAAUCCAAAAAAAUACCCAAACCCCAUGUGAACUAUUGUAUAAGUCUGUCUUUGGGAGAAAAGUUAAGCAUCUAAAUUAAUUUUUUUUAUGAAAAUGUUUUGGAGACUAAGCUUUCUCCCAAAAGAGUCCUGCAUAUCUGUUUGGAUGUGUCUAGGUUCUCUUUUUAAACCACUUAGAUUUAUUUUGUUGGAAUUUUUCUUUUUAUAAAUUCUUAAAUAAAAAGACAACUUUUAACGGCGGAUCUCUUGGCUCGU